GGAUGUGAGGAUGAUCUGUCACCCCAUUGAUCACCAGGGUUGAUUCGACUGAUCUGGCUGGCUAGGCAGUGUCCCCUUCCUCCCUCACAACUCCAUGUCCAUUCCUCCGGAAGCAACACUCUCCGUGGAAGAGGAAGACCUCCCCCGAAUAGAGAUGGACUGGUCUUCAGUUGAGGGUAUAUGAGUAGCUGCACUCCCCUGCUAGAACCUCCAAACAAGCUCUCAAACUGUAUUUACUGUUGAAUGUAAAACAUUAAUACUACAAUAAAGAAAAAAAAGAAACAU
Erinaceus europaeus (western European hedgehog) is the source of this 285-nucleotide unclassified non-coding RNA. Its record names the gene 7SK. It matches the Rfam family "7SK RNA". From Rfam's summary of the family: 7SK was discovered as an abundant small nuclear RNA in the mid-70s but a possible function has only recently been suggested. The record is from Ensembl. Lineage: Eukaryota; Metazoa; Chordata; Mammalia; Eulipotyphla; Erinaceidae.